This 409-nucleotide ribosomal RNA is filed under the name uncultured bacterium. RNAcentral's name for it is "bacterial SSU rRNA". It matches the Rfam family "Bacterial small subunit ribosomal RNA", at positions 29 to 440 of the family's 1533-position model. The record is from RNAcentral.
AUUGAACGCUGGCGGCGUGCCUAACACAUGCAAGUCGAGCGGUAACAGGUGUAGCAAUACAUGCUGACGAGCGGCGGACGGGUGAGUAACGCUUGGGAAUCUGCCUAUUAGUGGGGGACAACCCGGGGAAACUCGGGCUAAUACCGCAUACGCUCUACGGAGGAAAGCCGGGGACCGCAAGGCCUGGCGCUAAUAGAUGAGCCCAAGUCGGAUUAGCUAGUGGUAGGUAAGGCCUACCAAGGCGACGAUCCGUAACUGGUCUGAGAGGACGACCAGUCACACCGGAACUGAGACACGGUCCGGACUCCUACGGGAGGCAGCAGUGGGGAAUAUUGGACAAUGGGCGAAAGCCUGAUCCAGCGACGCCGCGUGGGUGAAGAAGGCCUGCGGGUUGUAAAGCCCUUUCAGC